AGCAAAAUUUUCAAUUCAUACACAAAAUCAACCUAAAAUCAUUAUCAAUUCCAUCAAAGACUCUCUGCAAAUCAACAAGGAAGAGUGCUCACAGAACUCAACAAGUGGAAGGAGAUUUGGAGCAAAUUUAUGUGGUGUUUGACGAUGCAAAGAUGCAGCAGAUGAAGAGAGAAUUUUGUUACUCAAAAUUGAAAUUAUUCAAAAUUAAAAAUAAAAUUUUAGAUUUAAUAAAUCUAGAUCUAGAUUCCUUGCGCAGGAGCUUCCAUGGCCAAUGCUUCAAGCUCCACCACGUUCAACAGACAGGGAGACACUCCCGUUUCUCUCCUCCCACAGCAUCUUGCCAGCUCCACUAAACAAACCAAAUCAGCAUUGUCUUCGCCUUCUCAACAAUAAACACAGAAGCAGGUCUUGAACAAUUUAAAAACGCAUGUGGAAUCAGAAGCUGAAAGAAUAAGAGACGAUUUGGUCCUCAAAUUUGAGUGUUGUUGGCGGUGCGACGAGUUCUGAAACUGUUCAAGGAGCCGUGAAGCGAUAUUGUGCGAGGGAAGCUUCGCCGGAGACUAGGAAGAGUCACCCGACCUCACCGCAGCCAGCACACAUGAAAUAAAUUCAAUUCUUCCAA
This 622-nucleotide unclassified non-coding RNA is filed under the name Hevea brasiliensis (rubber tree). The record is from RNAcentral. Lineage: Eukaryota; Viridiplantae; Streptophyta; Magnoliopsida; Malpighiales; Euphorbiaceae.